This 1204-nucleotide ribosomal RNA is filed under the name uncultured bacterium. RNAcentral's name for it is "bacterial SSU rRNA". It matches the Rfam family "Bacterial small subunit ribosomal RNA", at positions 31 to 1247 of the family's 1533-position model. The record is from RNAcentral.
GAAGGAAUGCGGGAGCUACACAUGCAGUCGAGGGGCAUCACGAGGUAGCAAUACUUUGGUGGCGACCGGCGCACGGGUGAGUAACGCGUAUGCAACCUACCCUGUACAGGGGGAUAGCCCGGAGAAAUUCGGAUUAAUACCCCAUAAAGAUAUCGAGAGGCAUCUUUUGAUAUUUAAAGUUUCGACGGUACGGGAUGGGCAUGCGUAACAUUAGCUAGUUGGUAGGGUAACGGCCUACCAAGGCGACGAUGUUUAGGGGUCCUGAGAGGGUGAUCCCCCACACUGGUACUGAGACACGGACCAGACUCCUACGGGAGGCAGCAGUGAGGAAUAUUGGUCAAUGGGCGUAAGCCUGAACCAGCCAUCCCGCGUGAAGGAAGACGGCGCUAUGCGUUGUAAACUUCUUUUCCAGAGGAAUAAAAUUUUGUACGAGUACGGAACUGAAGGUACUCUGGGAAUAAGCAUCGGCUAACUCCGUGCCAGCAGCCGCGGUAAUACGGAGGAUGCGAGCGUUAUCCGGAUUUAUUGGGUUUAAAGGGUGCGUAGGCGGAUUAAUAAGUCAGUGGUGAAAACCUUCAGCUUAACUGGAGAACUGCCAUUGAUACUGUUAGUCUUGAGUACGGUCAAGGUAGGCGGAAUGUGUAAUGUAGCGGUGAAAUGCUUAGAUAUUACACAGAACACCGAUUGCGAAGGCAGCUUACUGGGCCAUUACUGACGCUGAUGCACGAAAGCGUGGGGAGCGAACAGGAUUAGAUACCCUGGUAGUCCACGCCGUAAACGAUGAUCACUCGCUGUUAGCGAUACACAGUUAGCGGCUAAGCAAAAGCAUUAAGUGAUCCACCUGGGGAGUACGGCCGCAAGGCUGAAACUCAAAGGAAUUGACGGGGGCCCGCACAAGCGGAGGAACAUGUGGUUUAAUUCGAUGAUACGCGAGGAACCUUACCUGGGCUUAAAUGUAGAGUGCAUGAGUAGAAAUACUUCUUUCCUUCGGGACUCUUUGCAAGGUGCUGCAUGGUUGUCGUCAGCUCGUGCCGUGAGGUGUCGGUUAAGUCCCAUAACGAGCGCAACCCUUAUCGUAGUGCCAGCGGGUAAUGCCGGGAACUCUACGAAACUGCCGUGUAACGUGAGAGGUGGGAUGACGUCAAUCAGCACGCCCUUAUGUCAGGCUACACACCGUUGUUAACAAUGGCCCGGUACAGAGGCC